CAGUGGGGAAUAUUGCACAAUGGGCGAAAGCCUGAUGCAGCGACGCCGCGUGAGGGAUGACGGCCUUCGGGUUGUAAACCUCUUUCAGUAGGGAAGAAGCGAAAGUGACGGUACCUGCAGAAGAAGCGCCGGCUAACUACGUGCCAGCAGCCGCGGUAAUACGUAGGGCGCAAGCGUUAUCCGGAAUUAUUGGGCGUAAAGAGCUCGUAGGCGGUUUGUCGCGUCUGCUGUGAAAGGCCAGGGCUCAACCCUGGUUCUGCAGUGGGUACGGGCAGACUUGAGUGAUGUAGGGGAGACUGGAAUUCCUGGUGUAGCGGUGAAAUGCGCAGAUAUCAGGAGGAACACCGAUGGCGAAGGCAGGUCUCUGGGCAUUAACUGACGCUGAGGAGCGAAAGCAUGGGGAGCGAACAGGAUUAGAUACCCUGGUAGUCCAUGCCGUAAACGUUGGGCACUAGGUGUGGGGGACAUUCCACGUUUUCCGCGCCGUAGCUAACGCAUUAAGUGCCCCGCCUGGGGAGUACGGCCGCAAGGCUAAAACUCAAAGGAAUUGACGGGGGCCCGCACAAGCGGCGGAGCAUGCGGAUUAAUUCGAUGCAACGCGAAGAACCUUACCAAGGCUUGACAUGGAUCAGAUCGCAUCAGAGAUGGUGUUUC
RNAcentral lists this ribosomal RNA (654 nucleotides) under Arthrobacter sp. I-4-6. Its description in RNAcentral is "bacterial SSU rRNA". It matches the Rfam family "Bacterial small subunit ribosomal RNA", at positions 352 to 1015 of the family's 1533-position model. The record is from RNAcentral. Lineage: Bacteria; Bacillati; Actinomycetota; Actinomycetes; Micrococcales; Micrococcaceae.